AACGGCCUGCCUUGUGCGAAUUGUUGUGGCCGUGAUUAUCCUACUGGUUAUGAAAAGGGAGCCCGGGUCGACGGGUGGAAUGCAGACCUCCCGGCACUGCCGGAAGAAGGGAGCGUGAAGCCCGGUGCAGGGCACCCACCUACUUGUAAGAGUGGGUUAUAACUAGGCCACAGACGGCAAGGCGGGUUUUGU
RNAcentral lists this non-coding RNA (192 nucleotides) under Ruminococcaceae bacterium OttesenSCG-928-I18. RNAcentral describes it as "6S RNA". It matches the Rfam family "6S / SsrS RNA". Rfam says of the family: E. coli 6S RNA was the first non coding RNA to be sequenced, but its function was unknown until recently. The record is from RNAcentral. Lineage: Bacteria; Bacillati; Bacillota; Clostridia; Eubacteriales; Oscillospiraceae.